Molecule: transfer RNA, 76 nt
Filed under: Opitutales bacterium
Lineage: Bacteria; Pseudomonadati; Verrucomicrobiota; Opitutia; Opitutales
Also listed under: 3 other names
Description: tRNA-Thr
Rfam family: tRNA
About the family: Transfer RNA (tRNA) molecules are approximately 80 nucleotides in length. Their secondary structure includes four short double-helical elements and three loops (D, anti-codon, and T loops).
Source: RNAcentral
GCCACAAUAGCUCAGUUGGUAGAGCAUCUCAUUCGUAAUGAGAGGGUCGCAGGUUCGAGUCCUGUUUGUGGCUCCA